UGGGGAAUUUUGGACAAUGGGCGCAAGCCUGAUCCAGCCAUGCCGCGUGCGGGAAGAAGGCCUUCGGGUUGUAAACCGCUUUUGUCAGGGAAGAAAUCUUCUGAGUUAAUACCUCGGGAGGAUGACGGUACCUGAAGAAUAAGCACCGGCUAACUACGUGCCAGCAGCCGCGGUAAUACGUAGGGUGCAAGCGUUAAUCGGAAUUACUGGGCGUAAAGCGUGCGCAGGCGGUUUUGUAAGACAGAAGUGAAAUCCCCGGGCUCAACCUGGGAACUGCCUUUGUGACUGCAAGGCUUGAGUGCGGCAGAGGGGGGAUGGAAUUCCGCGUGUAGCAGUGAAAUGCGUAGAUAUGCGGAGGAACACCGAUGGCGAAGGCAAUCCCCUGGGCCUGCACUGACGCUCAUGCACGAAAAGCGUGGGGAGCAAAACAGGAUUAGAUACCCUGGUAGUCCACGCCCUAAAACGAUGUCAAC
RNAcentral lists this ribosomal RNA (473 nucleotides) under uncultured bacterium. RNAcentral describes it as "partial 16S ribosomal RNA". It matches the Rfam family "Bacterial small subunit ribosomal RNA", at positions 355 to 816 of the family's 1533-position model. The record is from RNAcentral.